GCUCAGGACGAACGCUGGCGGCGUGCUUAACACAUGCAAGUCGAACGGAAAGGCCCUGCUUUUGUGGGGUGCUCGAGUGGCGAACGGGUGAGUAACACGUGAGUAACCUGCCCUUGACUUUGGGAUAACUUCAGGAAACUGGGGCUAAUACCGGAUAGGAGCUCCUGCUGCAUGGUGGGGGUUGGAAAGUUUCGGCGGUUGGGGAUGGACUCGCGGCUUAUCAGCUUGUUGGUGGGGUAGUGGCUUACCAAGGCUUUGACGGGUAGCCGGCCUGAGAGGGUGACCGGCCACAUUGGGACUGAGAUACGGCCCAGACUCCUACGGGAGGCAGCAGUGGGGAAUAUUGCACAAUGGGCGGAAGCCUGAUGCAGCAACGCCGCGUGCGGGAUGACGGCCUUCGGGUUGUAAACCGCUUUCGCCUGUGACGAAGCGUGAGUGACGGUAAUGGGUAAAGAAGCACCGGCUAACUACGUGCCAGCAGCCGCGGUGAUACGUAGGGUGCGAGCGUUGUCCGGAUUUAUUGGGCGUAAAGGGCUCGUAGGUGGUUGAUCGCGUCGGAAGUGUAAUCUUGGGGCUUAACCCUGAGCGUGCUUUCGAUACGGGUUGACUUGAGGAA
RNAcentral lists this ribosomal RNA (616 nucleotides) under uncultured bacterium. Its description in RNAcentral is "bacterial SSU rRNA". It matches the Rfam family "Bacterial small subunit ribosomal RNA", at positions 22 to 649 of the family's 1533-position model. The record is from RNAcentral.